Molecule: ribosomal RNA, 309 nt
Filed under: uncultured eukaryote
Lineage: Eukaryota
Description: partial 18S ribosomal RNA
Rfam family: Eukaryotic small subunit ribosomal RNA
Source: RNAcentral
CCCUUAGAUGUUCUGGGCGGCCCGCGCACUACGCUGGCACUCUCAAUCAGAGCCUGGAUCUAACACUUUGGGGUAUUCUAUGAAGUGGUGUCGUGACUGGGAUUAACCCUUGCAAUUAUUGGUUACGAACGAGGAAUUCCUUGUAAUCGCGGUUUAUCAGCCCGCGUUGAAUGCGUCCCUGCCCUUUGUACACACCGCCCGUCGCUCCUACCGAUGGAUCGUCCGGUGAAGCUCAUGGAGGGGCGGUUGUCUCAGCUGCCGUCGAAGUGAAAUGGACCUCACGAUCUAGAGGAAGGAGAAGUCGUAACA